Molecule: ribosomal RNA, 301 nt
Filed under: uncultured bacterium
Lineage: Bacteria
Description: partial 16S ribosomal RNA
Rfam family: Bacterial small subunit ribosomal RNA
Source: RNAcentral
CAGUCGCCGCGGUAAUGCGUAGGUGGCAAGCGUUGUCCGGAAUUAUUGGGCGUAAAGGGCUCGCAGGCGGUUCCUUAAGCCUGAUGUGAAAGCCCCCGGCUCAACCGGGGAGGGUCAUUGGAAACUGGGAAACUUGAGUGCAGAAGAGGAGAGUGGAAUUCCACGUGUAGCGGUGAAAUGCGUAGAGAUGUGGAGGAACACCAGUGGCGAAGGCGACUCUCUGGUCUGCAACUGACGCUGAGGAGCGAAAGCGUGGGGAGCGAACAGGAUUAGAUACCCCCGUAGUCCCUGUCUCUUAUAC